CGACCGGGUGAGUAACACGUGACUAACCUACCCUAGAGUGGGGGAAUAAACCUCGGGAAACCGGGGCUAAUACCGCAUAACAUCACGAGACGUAAACGCUUGUGAUCAAAGGAGCAAUUCGCUCAAGGAGGGGGUCGCGGCUGAUUAGUUAGUUGGUGAGGUAACGGCUCACCAAGACUUAGAUCAGUAGCCGGCCUGAGAGGGCGCACGGCCACACUGGAACUGAAACACGGUCCAG
Molecule: ribosomal RNA, 238 nt
Filed under: uncultured bacterium
Lineage: Bacteria
Description: partial 16S ribosomal RNA
Rfam family: Bacterial small subunit ribosomal RNA
Source: RNAcentral